CAUUAGAUGGCUGAAAGUAAGCAUUGGUCUCUUAAACCACUUUAAAAUAGUUUAACACCUAUUUCUAAUGA
RNAcentral lists this transfer RNA (71 nucleotides) under Cyclommatus strigiceps vitalisi. RNAcentral describes it as "tRNA-Lys". Lineage: Eukaryota; Metazoa; Arthropoda; Insecta; Coleoptera; Lucanidae. The record is from RNAcentral.